UUUUCUACGAUACUCCUAAGCGAAGGAUCACCAUAAUCAUAAUGCUCUUCAUGAACGGCGUCAUGGAUUCGGCGUGAACAAAGGCGGUUCGUGGAUUCGGAUCGUUGGCUCGUGGAUUCGAGUGGCGUCAUGAAUUCGGCGUGAUUGAAGCUUCGUGGAUUCGAAGUGGAGGCGUUCGUGGACUCGAACGUGAGGGUGUGGACAACCCGGAGGGUAGCGCGAAGAUUCAUAGGAGGUUAAGAGAGGUUGAGUCCGUGGAGUCGGUAAUCACCUUGUAAUCUUUUCUCUUAGUGAAUUAUUUUUUCGCGUGUUGGUUCCGUGGGUUUUUCUCCAAGUUGGAGUUUUCCCACGUAAAUCUCAGUGUGCUUUUUAUUUUUCGCAUUUAUUUUUAUUGCAUCGAGAUUUAUGGUUUUUUGCCGUUUCACCUAUUCACCCCCCUUUAGGUGAUAGAUACAAUUUAGAUAGAUCCUUGGGCUCCUCAAAACUUUCACAUGGUUCCCAGUGGAU
RNAcentral lists this long non-coding RNA (507 nucleotides) under Ananas comosus (pineapple). RNAcentral's name for it is "long non-coding RNA (ACOM_LNC043343)". Lineage: Eukaryota; Viridiplantae; Streptophyta; Magnoliopsida; Poales; Bromeliaceae. The record is from RNAcentral.